Non-coding RNA from Maylandia zebra (zebra mbuna), 1394 nucleotides. The record is from RefSeq and is a predicted model, not a curated record. NCBI's taxonomy places the organism in Eukaryota, Metazoa, Chordata, Actinopteri, Cichliformes, Cichlidae.
UUGGCGAACGAGUGACGGGAAGCGAAAUCAAUAUGGCGGCAGCGACGAGCGUUAGCAUAACCGAAGUGGAUUAUUUACUUAGUUGUAUAUUUUCUUCUAUAUCUUUGGACGAAAAGGUUAAGAGACUGGGACCACAUCAUCGAAACGAUGUUCAAAUAACACAAACGACAGAAUCGUAAAGUUUGUGUUAUGUGGUUUCAACGAAAGGACUAGCUAACGGAAAGCAGGAAUUCACUUUACUGUGUCCCAUGCCUGCUUUUUGGAGGAGACACAGCUUGAAUUCAACAAGGAAUUGUGGAUUUGAAGCAUUUAUCUGACAAAAUUAGGAAACACGAAUGAAGCACAAGUCACAUUGGAAAUAGGGUAAAGUUAACAUCGCCUGCCACCUGGAUGAAGGACGCCGCAUUGCUUUAGACUCUAAAGCACUUGGUGUCGUUUGACUUCAACGACAGGGUGAUUAACAUGUUUGCAUCCCAGAAAACUCGAUGUUGUGAUCUUCACUUUAAAUAAGUGGCUGUUUGAGAUUGAAAAACUCCACUGUGCAUGGGGAGGAACUACUGAGGAGUGGAGGAGAGACAGUGUUUCGCAGCUUGGGCUGAUGGAUCCAGGUAAAAGUCUCAUCGAGAUUUAAUUUUCCAAGAGAGACCUGGCCGUCAUGGAAGCAAAGGUUACAACAAAUACAACAUACCAACAGAAGAAGCGAGCACAAUUUAAAGCAAAAGUACGUUUCCAGUUUUACUGGGAAACUUGUGAGUAUUUUUCAAAGAUCAACCCCACACUGCUCUCAGGGACUAUUUGUGUAGUUGUGGAAAAGUUGUGACACUGAACUGGUAACAUUUACAACUGAUCCUGAUAAUUAUUGUCACUAAUGUUUAUAUUGCUAUUUUGAAUAAUCUCAUCAAUGUUUAUAAAGCAUGCUUUUAUCCUAUGUUUCUUUUACUCUUACUGCAUUGUGGGUUUCAAAUGAUAAAGCCUUCCCUGUCUGCUUAGACUUGAAUCUGCUGUAGUCACUGUUUUAUCUGUAGGGUAGGUGUGCAGAGAACUUAAUGUGUGCCCAGCCUAACCCUCCUUUACCUUUUUGUGCUCCCAAAUCCAUACGCUGGUAACACUUACAUCUCUUUUAAAAACCUGCAGCCGACUCCUUGGACCUGGGGAGCGUUUCGUGUCAACACGUCUAAGAAAAGAGACAGUGCAAUGCUGCAGUGUUUCAUUCUUCACUGUAUUCACUUGCUUCUUUCUUCAAAAUGUUGGUAUCGCAGUCUCUGUUGCUUGUUGAAGUAUUUUGUGCAUGAAUGCUGACAGAUUUUGGUACCUGCUCAAAGAAGCUUUCAACAUGGUUUUUGCUCUUUGUUCUGUUGGCCACAAACUUAUUGAGUAACAUAGUUGGUUUAAAA